GAUGAACGCUGGCGGCGUGCCUAAUACAUGCAAGUCGAGCGAACGGACGAGAAGCUUGCUUCUCUGAUGUUAGCGGCGGACGGGUGAGUAACACGUGGAUAACCUACCUAUAAGACUGGGAUAACUUCGGGAAACCGGAGCUAAUACCGGAUAAUAUUUUGAACCGCAUGGUUCAAAGGUGAAAGACGGUCUUGCUGUCACUUAUAGAUGGAUCCGCGCUGCAUUAGCUAGUUGGUAAGGUAACGGCUUACCAAGGCAACGAUGCAUAGCCGACCUGAGAGGGUGAUCGGCCACACUGGAACUGAGACACGGUCCAGACUCCUACGGGAGGCAGCAGUAGGGAAUCUUCCGCAAUGGGCGAAAGCCUGACGGAGCAACGCCGCGUGAGUGAUGAAGGUCUUCGGAUCGUAAAACUCUGUUAUUAGGGAAGAACAUAUGUGUAAGUAACUGUGCACAUCUUGACGGUACCUAAUCAGAAAGCCACGGCUAACUACGUGCCAGCAGCCGCGGUAAUACGUAGGUGGCAAGCGUUAUCCGGAAUUAUUGGGCGUAAAGCGCGCGUAGGCGGUUUUUUAAGUCUGAUGUGAAAGCCCACGGCUCAACCGUGGAGGGUCAUUGGAAACUGGAAAACUUGAGUGCAGAAGAGGAAAGUGGAAUUCCAUGUGUAGCGGUGAAAUGCGCAGAGAUAUGGAGGAACACCAGUGGCGAAGGCGACUUUCUGGUCUGUAACUGACGCUGAUGUGCGAAAGCGUGGGGAUCAAACAGGAUUAGAUACCCUGGUAGUCCACGCCGUAAACGAUGAGUGCUAAGUGUUAGGGGGUUUCCGCCCCUUAGUGCUGCAGCUAACGCAUUAAGCACUCCGCCUGGGGAGUACGACCGCAAGGUUGAAACUCAAAGGAAUUGACGGGGACCCGCACAAGCGGUGGAGCAUGUGGUUUAAUUCGAAGCAACGCGAAGAACCUUACCAAAUCUUGACAUCCUUUGACAACUCUAGAGAUAGAGCCUUCCCCUUCGGGGGACAAAGUGACAGGUGGUGCAUGGUUGUCGUCAGCUCGUGUCGUGAGAUGUUGGGUUAAGUCCCGCAACGAGCGCAACCCUUAAGCUUAGUUGCCAUCAUUAAGUUGGGCACUCUAAGUUGACUGCCGGUGACAAACCGGAGGAAGGUGGGGAUGACGUCAAAUCAUCAUGCCCCUUAUGAUUUGGGCUACACACGUGCUACAAUGGACAAUACAAAGGGCAGCGAAACCGCGAGGUCAAGCAAAUCCCAUAAAGUUGUUCUCAGUUCGGAUUGUAGUCUGCAACUCGACUACAUGAAGCUGGAAUCGCUAGUAAUCGUAGAUCAGCAUGCUACGGUGAAUACGUUCCCGGGUCU
This 1372-nucleotide ribosomal RNA is filed under the name uncultured bacterium. RNAcentral's name for it is "bacterial SSU rRNA". It matches the Rfam family "Bacterial small subunit ribosomal RNA", at positions 28 to 1381 of the family's 1533-position model. The record is from RNAcentral.